RNAcentral lists this ribosomal RNA (774 nucleotides) under uncultured bacterium. RNAcentral describes it as "bacterial SSU rRNA". It matches the Rfam family "Bacterial small subunit ribosomal RNA", at positions 8 to 796 of the family's 1533-position model. The record is from RNAcentral.
AGAGUUUGAUCCUGGCUCAGGACGAACGCUGGCGGCGUGCUUAACACAUGCAAGUCGAGCGGUAAGGCCCUUUCGGGGGUACACGAGCGGCGAACGGGUGAGUAACACGUGGGUGACCUGCCCUCCACUCUGGGAUAAGCCCGGGAAACUGGGUCUAAUACCGGAUAGGACCACUGAUCGCAUGGUUGGUGGUGGAAAGUUUUUUCGGUGGGGGAUGGGCCCGCGGCCGAUCAGCUUGUUGGUGGGGUGAUGGCCUACCAAGGCGGUGACGGGUAGCCGGCCUGAGAGGGCGACCGGCCACACUGGGACUGAGACACGGCCCAGACUCCUACGGGAGGCAGCAGUGGGGAAUAUUGCGCAAUGGGCGGAAGCCUGGCGCAGCGACGCCGCGUGGGGGAUGACGGCCUUCGGGUUGUAAACCUCUUUCGCCAGGGACGAAGAGCAAUUGACGGUACCUGGAGAAGAAGCACCGGCCAACUACGUGCCAGCAGCCGCGGUAACACGUAGGGUGCGAGCGUUGUCCGGAAUUAUUGGGCGUAAAGAGCUCGUAGGCGGUGUGUCGCGUCGGCCGUGAAAACUUGGGGCUUAACUCUGAGCGUGCGGUCGAUACGGGCAUCACUUGAGUUCGGCAGGGGAGACUGGAAUUCCUGGUGUAGCGGUGAAAUGCGCAGAUAUCAGGAGGAACACCGGUGGCGAAGGCGGGUCUCUGGGCCGAUACUGACGCUGAGGAGCGAAAGCGUGGGGAGCGAACAGGAUUAGAUACCCUGGUAGUCC